AUUGAACGCUGGCGGCAGGCCUAACACAUGCAAGUCGAGCGGAUGAAGGGAGCUUGCUCCUGGAUUCAGCGGCGGACGGGUGAGUAAUGCCUAGGAAUCUGCCUGGUAGUGGGGUAUAACGUCCGGAAACGGGCGCUAAUACCGCAUACGUCCUGAGGGAGAAAGUGGGGGAUCUUCGGACCUCACGCUAUCAGAUGAGCCUAGGUCGGAUUAGCUAGUUGGUGGGGUAAAGGCCUACCAAGGCGACGAUCCGUAACUGGUCUGAGAGGAUGAUCAGUCACACGGGAACUGAGACACGGUCAAGACUCCUACGGGAGGCAGCAGUGGGGAAUAUUGGACAAUGGGCGAAAGCCUGAUCCAGCCAUGCCGCGUGUGUGAAGAAGGUCUUCGGAUUGUAAAGCACUUUAAGUUGGGAGGAAGGGCAGUAAGUUAAUACCUUGCUGUUUUGACGUUACCAACAGAAUAAGCACCGGCUAACUUCGUG
This 484-nucleotide ribosomal RNA is filed under the name uncultured bacterium. RNAcentral describes it as "partial 16S ribosomal RNA". It matches the Rfam family "Bacterial small subunit ribosomal RNA", at positions 30 to 507 of the family's 1533-position model. The record is from RNAcentral.